CCACUUCCAGUCUGGCACAUCUAACGGUGUCAACAACCCUGCAGGCUUCUGAUGCUCAACCUUAGACUUCUGACAAGUCAAACAUGCAUAGACAAACUGAGCAACAUCACGUUUCAACCCAGACCACCAAAACAAUUUCUUCAAAUCAUGAUACAUUUUUGUAGCUCCCGGAUGAAUACUUAAGCUACUCUUGUGACUUUCUUCCAGAAUCAACUUUUUCAAAUCAUCAUUAUCAGGAAUACAAAUUCUUCCUCUGAACCUCAACAUACCCUGAUCAUCAACCUUGA
Molecule: long non-coding RNA, 287 nt
Filed under: Medicago truncatula (barrel medic)
Lineage: Eukaryota; Viridiplantae; Streptophyta; Magnoliopsida; Fabales; Fabaceae
Description: long non-coding RNA (MTRU_LNC007059)
Source: RNAcentral